AGAGUUUGAUCCUGGCUCAGAGUGAACGCUAGCGGCGCGCCUAACACAUGCAAGUCGCGUGGGUUUAGACCCACGGCAAACGGCUGCGUAACACGUUGGAACCUUCCCCGGACUCAGGGAUAUCCCUCCGAAAGGAGGAGUAAUACCGGAUGGUCUCCCGCGCAAGCGGUGAGUAAAGAUUUAUCGGUCCGGGAGGGGCCUGCGGCCUAUCAGCUUGUUGGUGAGGUAACGGCUCACCAAGGCAAUGACGGGUAGCUGGUCUGAGAGGACGACCAGCCAGAAUGGAACUGCGACACGGUCCAUACUCCUACGGGAGGCAGCAGUGAGGAAUCUUCCGCAAUGGACGAAAGUCUGACGGAGCGACGCCGCGUGGUGGAUGAAGGCCUUUACUGGUCGUAAACACCUGUUCUGAGGGACGAAAUUUUGACGGUACCUCAGAGAAAGU
Molecule: ribosomal RNA, 445 nt
Filed under: uncultured Thermodesulfobium sp.
Lineage: Bacteria; Pseudomonadati; Thermodesulfobiota; Thermodesulfobiia; Thermodesulfobiales; Thermodesulfobiaceae
Description: bacterial SSU rRNA
Rfam family: Bacterial small subunit ribosomal RNA
Source: RNAcentral